GGGGGUGAACAGGGUUCGACGGGAGUGAUAGAGGUAAUGGCAGCAGGCCGGAGUUGGUCGAUGGCUCCGUAAAAAUCGACCGAAAAUAAACAACAAAACUGUUGUUCCAAUGCAAAACGUUAAGCCUUUCAUUGCGUUUAACGUUAUGCCUUUAGCUGCUUAAUGCGGCUUCGUUUUACUCUAGACACCUGCUAUAGGGAUAAAACGUCAAGAGCAGGCUAGUUUUAAGCGGCUUGUGCCGUCAGUUUAAAAUGAAAUUAAAACGGCGCUGGUUUAUAAUGUAGUAUCGUCCGAUUAUGGCGUUAUAAACGAGAUAACUUUUCGGACUAAGCCUGUAGCGGCCUUACUAAAACAUUUUCGGACGCGGGUUCAAUUCCCGCCACCUCCACCA
Molecule: transfer-messenger RNA, 391 nt
Filed under: Candidatus Endomicrobiellum guadaloupense
Lineage: Bacteria; Pseudomonadati; Elusimicrobiota; Endomicrobiia; Endomicrobiales; Endomicrobiaceae
Rfam family: transfer-messenger RNA
About the family: Bacterial tmRNA, also known as 10Sa RNA or SsrA, is named for its dual tRNA and mRNA-like properties.
Source: RNAcentral